GCGAAAGUGGCGGAAUUGGCAGACGCCCUGGAUUUAGGUUCCAGUGCCGCAAGGCGUGCGGGUUCGAGUCCCGCCUUUCGCACCA
RNAcentral lists this transfer RNA (85 nucleotides) under Stenotrophomonas tumulicola. RNAcentral's name for it is "tRNA-Leu". It matches the Rfam family "tRNA". From Rfam's summary of the family: Transfer RNA (tRNA) molecules are approximately 80 nucleotides in length. Their secondary structure includes four short double-helical elements and three loops (D, anti-codon, and T loops). Further hydrogen bonds mediate the characteristic L-shaped molecular structure. tRNAs have two regions of fundamental functional importance: the anti-codon, which is responsible for specific mRNA codon recognition, and the 3' end, to which the tRNAs corresponding amino acid is attached (by aminoacyl-tRNA synthetases). tRNAs cope with the degeneracy of the genetic code in two manners: having more than one tRNA (with a specific anti-codon) for a particular amino acid; and 'wobble' base-pairing, i.e. permitting non-standard base-pairing at the 3rd anti-codon position. RNAcentral also lists the same sequence under 7 other names. Lineage: Bacteria; Pseudomonadati; Pseudomonadota; Gammaproteobacteria; Lysobacterales; Lysobacteraceae. The record is from RNAcentral.